CAUGGAAUACCAAUUGCGAAGGCAGGUUACUACCAAUUUAUUGACGCUGAUGGACGAAAGCGUGGGUAGCGAACAGGAUUAGAUACCCUGGUAGUCCACGCCGUAAACGAUGGAUACUAGCUGUUGGGAGCAAUCUCAGUGGCUAAGCGAAAGUGAUAAGUAUCCCACCUGGGGAGUACGAACGCAAGUUUGAAACUCAAAGGAAUUGACGGGGGCCCGCACAAGCGGUGGAGCAUGUGGUUUAAUUCGAUGAUACGCGAGGAACCUUACCAAGGCUUAAAUGCAGACUGACCGAUUUGGAAACAGAUCUUUCGCAAGACAGUUUACAAGGUGCUGCAUGGUUGUCGUCAGCUCGUGCCGUGAGGUGUCAGGUUAAGUCCUAUAACGAGCGCAACCCCUGUUGUUAGUUGCCAGCGAGUCAAGUCGGG
This 428-nucleotide ribosomal RNA is filed under the name Flavobacterium sp. CRIB-71. Its description in RNAcentral is "bacterial SSU rRNA". It matches the Rfam family "Bacterial small subunit ribosomal RNA", at positions 700 to 1135 of the family's 1533-position model. The record is from RNAcentral. Lineage: Bacteria; Pseudomonadati; Bacteroidota; Flavobacteriia; Flavobacteriales; Flavobacteriaceae.